CUCAUCUCCGUACAUACGUCUCAUCAGACCCUGGUUCUCCUGAACAAAUCUGCGCACCGCAUGCCUGCAAUUGGAAAAUCAUCAGACAAUUCAGUAGAUGCUCAGAGAGGGAAACGUGCUCACGCGUAUUCAAUAAGAUGGAUAGGCGCUACCAGCAACGGUGCACCAGUUUUGCUGACGGAAGUCACAUGGUAAACUUUGAAAACGUGCCCUGGCUGCCCUGGAGUAAGGUUUGCUACAAGCAGAUGACGCAUCGUAUCCAAAACUGCUGGGACCACCGCCUCCUUGUGAUCUUACUAGUCGGAGUGCGAUCGCCUACAACAAGUGACACUAUACUUUAAGAUCAUUCCAUUCGAGAUGAACUCACUGUUGGAUAAACUGUGAGGAUAGUACGAAUUUAUGCGUUCGUAGACUCCAGGAUACCGUUACCGUUUCGCUUGAACUUGAUGCUCUCACUGAACGAGUUGAACUCACCGCAAAUAAUCAUGAACAAUUUCGACACGCUGUGUAUCCUGUACCAUGCUAUAGUACAAUCAUUUGAGUAUAGUUCAUAGUUCCAGAUCACCCUCAUCUAAAUCAGAGAAUUUUUAUUAUAUUCUCUCUCUAUCUGUCUACUCACCAGGAAAAUCGUUAGGACUAGAGGUUUCAUUAUUCCUGAUUAUCUUGCACCAGGUAGAUAAAGGAUC
Molecule: long non-coding RNA, 686 nt
Organism: Cephus cinctus (wheat stem sawfly)
Lineage: Eukaryota; Metazoa; Arthropoda; Insecta; Hymenoptera; Cephidae
Exons: 3
Source: RefSeq, a predicted model, not a curated record